This 217-nucleotide ribosomal RNA is filed under the name uncultured bacterium. RNAcentral's name for it is "partial 16S ribosomal RNA". It matches the Rfam family "Bacterial small subunit ribosomal RNA", at positions 328 to 539 of the family's 1533-position model. The record is from RNAcentral.
ACGCUCGACACCUACGGGAGCAGCAGUGAGGAAUAUUGGUCAAUGGACGCAAGUCUGAACCAGCCAUGCCGCGUGCAGGAUGACGGCUCUAUGAGUUGUAAACUGCUUUUGUACGAGGGUAAACGCAGAUACGUGUAUCUGUCUGAAAGUAUCGUACGAAUAAGGAUCGGCUAACUCCGUGUCAGCAGCCGCGGUAAUCUGAGCGGGCUGGCAAGGC